Unclassified non-coding RNA from Papio anubis (olive baboon), 117 nucleotides. It matches the Rfam family "Metazoan signal recognition particle RNA". From Rfam's summary of the family: The signal recognition particle (SRP) is a universally conserved ribonucleoprotein. It is involved in the co-translational targeting of proteins to membranes. NCBI's taxonomy places the organism in Eukaryota, Metazoa, Chordata, Mammalia, Primates, Cercopithecidae. The record is from Ensembl.
GCCAGGUGUGGUGGCUCACGCCUGUAAUCCCAGUACUUCGGGAGGCUGAGGCAGGUGGAUCACCUGAGGUCAGGAGUUUGAGACCAGCCUGGCCAACAUGGUGAAACCCUGUCUCUA